This 467-nucleotide ribosomal RNA is filed under the name uncultured bacterium. RNAcentral's name for it is "partial 16S ribosomal RNA". It matches the Rfam family "Bacterial small subunit ribosomal RNA", at positions 28 to 507 of the family's 1533-position model. The record is from RNAcentral.
GAUGAACGCUGGCGGCGUGCUUAACACAUGCAAGUCGAACGGAAAGGCCCAAGCUUGCUUGGGUACUCGAGUGGCGAACGGGUGAGUAACACGUGGGUGAUCUGCCCUGCACUUCGGGAUAAGCCUGGGAAACUGGGUCUAAUACCGGAUAGGACCACUUCUUGGAUGUUGUGGUGGAAAAUUUUUUCGGUGUGGGAUGAGCUCGCGGCCUAUCAGCUUGUUGGUGGGGUAAUGGCCUACCAAGGCGUCGACGGGUAGCCGGCCUGAGAGGGUGUACGGCCACAUUGGGACUGAGAUACGGCCCAGACUCCUACGGGAGGCAGCAGUGGGGAAUAUUGCACAAUGGGCGCAAGCCUGAUGCAGCGACGCCGCGUGGGGGAUGACGGCCUUCGGGUUGUAAACUCCUUUCGCUAGGGACGAAGCGUUUUGUGACGGUACCUGGAGAAGAAGCACCGGCUAACUACGUG